RNAcentral lists this ribosomal RNA (468 nucleotides) under uncultured bacterium. RNAcentral's name for it is "partial 16S ribosomal RNA". It matches the Rfam family "Bacterial small subunit ribosomal RNA", at positions 28 to 507 of the family's 1533-position model. The record is from RNAcentral.
GACGAACGCUGGCGGCGUGCUUAACACAUGCAAGUCGAACGGAAAGGCCCUGCUUUUGUGGGGUGCUCGAGUGGCGAACGGGUGAGUAACACGUGAGUAACCUGCCCUUGACUUUGGGAUAACUUCAGGAAACUGGGGCUAAUACCGGAUAGGAGCUCCUGCUGCAUGGUGGGGGUUGGAAAGUUUCGGCGGUUGGGGAUGGACUCGCGGCUUAUCAGCUUGUUGGUGGGGUAGUGGCUUACCAAGGCUUUGACGGGUAGCCGGCCUGAGAGGGUGACCGGCCACAUUGGGACUGAGGUGCGGCCCAGACUCCUACGGGAGGCAGCAGUGGGGAAUUUUGCACAAUGGGCGGAAGCCUGAUGCAGCAACGCCGCGUGCGGGAUGACGGCCUUCGGGUUGUAAACCGCUUUCGCCUGUGACGAAGCGUGAGUGACGGUAAUGGGUAAAGAAGCACCGGCUAACUACGUG